This is a long non-coding RNA of Bradysia coprophila, 261 nucleotides long. Lineage: Eukaryota; Metazoa; Arthropoda; Insecta; Diptera; Sciaridae. The record is from RefSeq and is a predicted model, not a curated record.
UUAAGCUUAUUGUUUAUUAUUUUUAAUCAGGUUUGUUUAUAUAUUAAUUUUAAUUAUUUGCGUAGAAUAGAAAUUUGAAAGAAAUCCAUUUGUAUGUAAAAGUGUUUUUCUUGUUUUUCUUCUAUUUUUUUUUUAGGAAACCAUAAGCCAGAUAUUGCUUUAUGAAAAAUAUAGUCAUCUUGCAGUAAAUUAAAUUGUAAAAGCUUUGCACAAUAUCACAAAGAUGAAUAAUUUGUAGAAAUUGGUUCAAUAAUUUUUAUU